GCAAGUAGAACGCUGAAGAGAGGAGCUUGCUCUUCUUGGAUGAGUUGCGAACGGGUGAGUAACGCGUAGGUAACCUGCCUUGUAGCGGGGGAUAACUAUUGGAAACGAUAGCUAAUACCGCAUAACAAUGGAUGACACAUGUCAUUUAUUUGAAAGGGGCAAUUGCUCCACUACAAGAUGGACCUGCGUUGUAUUAGCUAGUAGGUGAGGUAAUGGCUCACCUAGGCGACGAUACAUAGCCGACCUGAGAGGGUGAUCGGCCACACUGGGACUGAGACACGGCCCAGACUCCUACGGGAGGCAGCAGUAGGGAAUCUUCGGCAAUGGGGGCAACCCUGACCGAGCAACGCCGCGUGAGUGAAGAAGGUUUUCGGAUCGUAAAGCUCUGUUGUAAGUCAAGAACGGGUGUGAGAGUGGAAAGUUCACACUGUGACGGUAGCUUACCAGAAAGGGACGGCUAACUACGUGCCAGCAGCCGCGGUAAUACGUAGGUCCCGAGCGUUGUCCGGAUUUAUUGGGCGUAAAGCGAGCGCAGGCGGUUUGAUAAGUCUGAAGUUAAAGGCUGUGGCUCAACCAUAGUUCGCUUUGGAAACUGUCAAACUUGAGUGCAGAAGGGGAGAGUGGAAUUCCAUGUGUAGCGGUGAAAUGCGUAGAUAUAUGGAGGAACACCGGUGGCGAAAGCGGCUCUCUGGUCUGUAACUGACGCUGAGGCUCGAAAGCGUGGGGAGCGAACAGGAUUAGAUACCCUGGUAGUCCACGCCGUAAACGAUGAGUGCUAGGUGUUGGAUCCUUUCCGGGAUUCAGUGCCGCAGCUAACGCAUUAAGCACUCCGCCUGGGGAGUACGACCGCAAGGUUGAAACUCAAAGGAAUUGACGGGGGCCCGCACAAGCGGUGGAGCAUGUGGUUUAAUUCGAAGCAACGCGAAGAACCUUACCAGGUCUUGACAUCCCGAUGCUAUUUCUAGAGAUAGAAAGUUACUUCGGUACAUCGGUGACAGGUGGUGCAUGGUUGUCGUCAGCUCGUGUCGUGAGAUGUUGGGUUAAGUCCCGCAACGAGCGCAACCCCUAUUGUUAGUUGCCAUCAUUCAGUUGGGCACUCUAGCGAGACUGCCGGUAAUAAACCGGAGGAAGGUGGGGAUGACGUCAAAUCAUCAUGCCCCUUAUGACCUGGGCUACACACGUGCUACAAUGGUUGGUACAACGAGUUGCGAGUCGGUGACGGCGAGCUAAUCUCUUAAAGCCAAUCUCAGUUCGGAUUGUAGGCUGCAACUCGCCUACAUGAAGUCGGAAUCGCUAGUAAUCGCGGAUCAGCACGCCGCGGUGAAUACGUUCCCGGGCCUUGUACACACCGCCCGUCACACCACGAGAGUUUGUAACACCCGAAGU
RNAcentral lists this ribosomal RNA (1386 nucleotides) under Streptococcus thermophilus. RNAcentral's name for it is "bacterial SSU rRNA". It matches the Rfam family "Bacterial small subunit ribosomal RNA", at positions 57 to 1427 of the family's 1533-position model. The record is from RNAcentral. Lineage: Bacteria; Bacillati; Bacillota; Bacilli; Lactobacillales; Streptococcaceae.